GAAGGGAAGAGCUCAGUGGCAGAGUGAAUGCUUAGCAUGCAUGAGGUCCUGGGUUCAAUCCCCAGUACCUCCA
This is a non-coding RNA of Camelus ferus (Wild Bactrian camel), 73 nucleotides long. The record is from Rfam. Lineage: Eukaryota; Metazoa; Chordata; Mammalia; Artiodactyla; Camelidae.